RNAcentral lists this small nucleolar RNA (114 nucleotides) under Triticum urartu. Its description in RNAcentral is "Small nucleolar RNA Z278". It matches the Rfam family "Small nucleolar RNA Z278". From Rfam's summary of the family: snoZ278 is a C/D box small nucleolar RNA. The record is from Rfam by way of RNAcentral. Lineage: Eukaryota; Viridiplantae; Streptophyta; Magnoliopsida; Poales; Poaceae.
GUCAAUGAUGAUUUCUGUCUGCAAAAUGUAUGCUCUGUGGAUUCAAGCCCCUGUUUCAGGGAGAACCUCUUGAUGAAGCAGAUAUAAUAUGACAUCAAUUGACAUAUCUGAGAC